AAUUGGAGUUCAACGUGUCACGUCUUCUAUUCAUUUAGGUCCUGGCCUAAGUGAAGGUCGCCAUAUCACCGGUGCAAAGACUAAAACCUCUGGAGAUUGGCAUGGUUUCCAUACAUACAAAAUGGACUGGUCACCUGAUCACGUUAUCCUGUAUGUUGAUGAUCAAAUGGUAACAAGAAUUGAUGUCCAUUCUAAUACUAACAUGUGGCAGCAUCUUGGUUUCCAUGGGAACAAUAUUUGGUCAAGUGGUUCACAUCUCGCACCUUUUGACCAGGAGUUCUAUAUGAUAUUGAAUGUGGCCAUCGGCGGAACAGGUGGCAUAUGGGGAGAACAAGGAGUUACCUAUGCAUAUCCUAAACCAUGGCAGAAUAAUGCUAAAGAUCCAAUGGCACAAUUUUGGUCAAACAGAAACCAUUGGUUACCAACUUGGCACGGAGAUGAUGUGGCCAUGAUCAUUGAUUAUGUUGAGUUUAGACAUAUGUAAUA
Long non-coding RNA from Patella vulgata (common limpet), 486 nucleotides. RefSeq lists it as uncharacterized. The record is from RefSeq and is a predicted model, not a curated record. The transcript has 4 exons. NCBI's taxonomy places the organism in Eukaryota, Metazoa, Mollusca, Gastropoda, Patellidae.